Molecule: long non-coding RNA, 613 nt
Organism: Chelonus insularis
Lineage: Eukaryota; Metazoa; Arthropoda; Insecta; Hymenoptera; Braconidae
Exons: 4
Source: RefSeq, a predicted model, not a curated record
CGUCCAGUCAGUGCAUGGCGGUCCGAGGCUCUUUGAACAUAUCUCUGUAUGAGAUUGUCUCACGUGAUACAUCGCGUUUAUUGAGUGUACCUCACGUAGCAGUUGAUUUAUCAUUUAUUACCUACCGCUCUAAAUUAUAUACGAAAAAACAAUUAAUUGUCAAGUGAUUAUUAUCGUUUUAUUUAGUGAUAGUGUCGUCAUCUCAAAUUACUUAACACACGAGAUCAUAGGAAUUAAUUCUGCUUCACUCCGUUUUUUGACUUUGAGUGAAUGCAACUUUCUUAGGAGAACUUAAAGAUAUUCGAUUAUGAUUCAAUGAUCCCAUUUAGACCAGUCAUUGAGCCAAAUCAUCCAGGGGCAUUUUUGAACGAAGAGCUUGCUCAAUCCUUCAAGAAUGGAAAUAUGGCUGAUAUUCCUUGGAUAACAGGAUACAAUUCUCAUGAAGGAGCUAUCAAAGUAGCAGGUCUUUAUGGUCUCAAAGAAUAUCAGUAUGACAAGAAAUUGAACGACAACUUCAUGGAGUUAGCUCCUAUCACUCUGAUGUAUAAAGACACUGGUCCAAAAAAAUCACUCAAAGAUGUAGCUAACAGAUAAAUCUACCAAAUUUGGAGUC